GAAUAUCUCCGUCUCGCAAGAGACUGCUAUAUAGGUGCUGCAUGGCUGUCGUCAGCUCGUGUCGUGAGAUGUUGGGUUAAGUCCCGCAACGAGCGCAACCCUUAUCGUUAGUUGCCAUCAGGUCAAGCUGGGCACUCUAGCGAAACCGCCUCGGAUAACGGGGAGGAAGGUGGGGAUGACGUCAAGUCCUCAUGGCCUUUAUGUCCAGGGCUACACACGUGCUACAAUGCACGGUACAAACCGUCGCAAACCCGUGAGGGGGAGCUAAUCGGAAAAAGCCGUGCUCAGUUCGGAUUGGAGUCUGCAACCCGACUCCAUGAAGCUGGAAUCGCUAGUAAUCGCAGAUCAGAACGCUGCGGUGAAUACGUUCCCGGGCCUUGUACACACCGCCCGUCACAUCACGAAAGUGGACUGCACUAGAAGCCGGCGUGCCAACUCGCAAGAGGGGUAGCCGUCCAAGGUAUGGUUCAUGAUUGGGGUGAAGUCGUAACAAGGUAGCCGUAA
RNAcentral lists this ribosomal RNA (504 nucleotides) under uncultured Acidobacteriota bacterium. RNAcentral describes it as "bacterial SSU rRNA". It matches the Rfam family "Bacterial small subunit ribosomal RNA", at positions 1004 to 1505 of the family's 1533-position model. The record is from RNAcentral. Lineage: Bacteria; Pseudomonadati; Acidobacteriota.